AUAUCAAUAAGCGGAGGAAAAGAAACCAACAGGGAUUGCCUCAGUAACGGCGAGUGAAGCGGCAACAGCUCAAAUUUGAAAUCUGGCUCCUUGGGGGCCCGAGUUGUAAUUUGUAGAGGAUGCUUCGGGCAAGGCCCCGGUCUAAUUUGCUUGGAACAGCGAGUCAUAGAGGGUGAGAAUCCCGUCUAGGAUCGGGCGCCGCGUCCAUGUGAAGCUCCUUCGACGAGUCGAGUUGUUUGGGAAUGCAGCUCUAAAUGGGUGGUAAAUUUCAUCUAAAGCUAAAUAUUGGCCAGAGACCGAUAGCGCACAAGUAGAGUGAUCGAAAGAUGAAAAGCACUUUGAAAAGAGAGUUAAACAGUAUGUGAAAUUGUUGAAAGGGAAGCGCUUGCAACCAGACUUGCGUGUGACGGUUCCCCCGACCUUCUGGCCGGGCUAUUCCGUCAUGUCCAGGCCAGCAUCGGUUUGGGUGGUCGGUGAAAGGCCCCGGGAAUGUAUCUACCUUCGGGUCGACUUAUAGCCCGGGGUGCAAUGCGGCCUACCCGGACCGAGGAACGCGCUCCGGCUCGGAUGCUGGCGUAAUGGUUGCAAGCGGCCCGUCUUGAAACACGGACCAAGGAGUCUAACAUCUAUGCGAGUGUUUGGGUGUCAAACCCCGGCGCGGAAUGAAAGUGAACGGAGGUAAGAACCCCGUCAAGGGGCGCAUUAUCGACCGAUCCUGAUGUCUUCGGAUGGAUUUGAGUAAGAGCAUGGCUGUUGGGACCCGAAAGAUGGUGAACUAUGCCUGAAUAGGGUGAAGCCAGAGGAAACUCUGGUGGAGGCUCGCAGCGGUUCUGACGUGCAAAUCGAUCGUCAAAUUUGGGCAUAGGGGCGAAAGACUAAUCGAACCAUCCUUAUGGCAUCUUGUAAAGAAACAGAUGUGUGACCUAUUAUCUUUUAAGCGGUUGCCAGGUGGUUAAUUUCCUACCUUUUCAGUUAGGUCAGUCUGAUAUUUUGGUAUUGGGCGACGUCGUCAGUCUUCGGGGAUGUCCUCACGGCUAUCCGAAGCCGUCCUCAUCUUGGGACGGUUCACAGACUAGACAAUGACGGCCGGAUCCUCUUAGCCGGGGACGGUGAUUAUAUAGUCGAGUAAAGUUAUCGGAGGAUCUUGCGAGUGUCUUUUAACCGGAGUGCUCGGUAGACUGUACGUUUUUUAUGUACGCCUUUUUUGGGGUUUCUGAACUUCGUUUAGGGUUGGUCUUUGGAGAGAAUCCUGUAGCUUUCAACGCUGGUAGCUGGUUCCUGUCGAAGUUUCCCUCAGGAUAGCAGUAACGUUUUCAGUUUUAUGAGGUAAAGCGAAUGAUUAGAGGCCUUGGGGUUGAAACAACCUUAACCUAUUCUCAAACUUUAAAUAUGUAAGAAGUCCUUGUUACUUGAUUGAACGUGGACAUUUGAAUGUAUCGUUACUAGUGGGCCAUUUUUGGUAAGCAGAACUGGCGAUGCGGGAUGAACCGAACGUGAGGUUAAGGUGCCGGAAUGUACGCUCAUCAGACACCACAAAAGGUGUCAAUGCAUCCAGACAGCCGGACGGUGGCCAUGGAAGUCGGAAUCCGCUUAGGAGUGUGUAACAACUCACCGGCCGAAUGCAUUGGCCCUGAAAAUGGAUGGCGCUUAAGCGUGCUACCUAUACCUCGCCGUUGGGGUUGAAAUGAUGCCCCAACGAGUAGGCAGGCGUGGGGGUUUGUGACGAAGCCUCGGGGGUGACCCUGGGUCGAACAACCUCUAGUG
This 1764-nucleotide ribosomal RNA is filed under the name Verrucaria lecideoides. Its description in RNAcentral is "eukaryotic LSU rRNA". It matches the Rfam family "Eukaryotic large subunit ribosomal RNA", at positions 40 to 1444 of the family's 3401-position model. The record is from RNAcentral. Lineage: Eukaryota; Fungi; Ascomycota; Eurotiomycetes; Verrucariales; Verrucariaceae.